ACCUCCUCCAUCUCUGCCAUCAUUACCGCCACCCAUACCAGUAACCUGCUGUGUGUGUUACCACCACCUGUGCCAGUACCCGCUGUGUGUGUUACCACCACCCAUACCCUGCUGGGAGAGCAUGAACACAAUACCCUACUACUACAAAUCAUGCAGUUGAGUUUCCCACAUUUGGGGAAAUUUCAGGGGCCAGCACAUCUGGAGUGCAAUGGAUAGGUCUCGCCGUGGGAAAACCACUUUAGUGAUCAUGGUAUCUCCCCUGCCAGGGGGAUCCUAAAUCAAAUGACAAGUGUCCUCACAAGAGACGCAAAGAGAGAAGGAAGUGUGGCCAUGGAGACAGAGGGGAGCAAUGCAGCCCCAAGCUGCAGAAGCCCUGGCGCCAACUUUCUUUGGGAAGUGAGGAGAGGAGGUUCGCGUCCCAGAGUCCUCAGCGGAGGCCAACACCUUGACCCCGCGCUUCUGCCUCCAGAAUACCAAAGAAGAAACAUCUGUUCUUGGCUGCUUGGUUAGCGGUGCUCAAGACUCCCCAGGCGUCCAGCCUGGCGCUUACAUCCCCAGGGUCUGGAGCUAUUCUCUGGCCCCUGUAUGAGGACUUUCUACAUCCUGUCUGGGUGGUGCCUCAGGGCUGGGAGAGGCCGCUGUGCCAGACCCCAGAAUGGUAAGUCAGCCUACACCAAAUGACCCUAAAAAGGAGGAACUCCACCACGGGGUCACUACGACUGAACCUGCAGGUCCCGAGGCCUCAUAUGGACAGGCAAGGCCUGCAAUACAUCAGAGACAAAGGGGGCAACCAGGUUGGGGGUGCAGGUCAAACUCUGCCCCUUUCUGCCUGGGAGCAAAGAGGCAUGUUCUGGUCUCAGUGCUAUACAUCCGAGUCCCAGGGCCAGAGAUGAGCCUCUGGUUUCGGGGAAGCACUUUUACCAACAUCAUGAAUGCUCGCUGUGUCUCCCCCAUGCACAAUGACAUACCUGUCUUUGUAAUUUGGUUCCUACAUCCACUCUGUGAAAUAUAUUGUGAUCCCUCCCCCAUUUGAUAGGAGGAGACUUGGCCUUCAGCAGAGAAGGUCAUGGGUAAAUUCACCCAGUAUGUAAGCGAUAGUACUGGAAUUUGAACUCACUUCAGAGCCUAAUUACAAGAGACGUCUCCAGCCAGAUGGGACCAGAGUAGAAACCCAAGCAGGACAGUGUAGAUGCUGGGGCCAAGAGGUGCCACCUUUUUGGAUCUGUUCAAAACUACAGGGCAUUGGGAGGGGCAAGCACAAAAGAAUCUCACAUUGACCCUGGCCUAAAGGAAAAGGUGAGGGGCUGUGGAGAUGACUGAGUGGUUAGUUCAGAGCCUGUGUGCUAACUAUUGAACCAAGAUGUCUCAGCCUCGUAGCUCUCUGGGAAGAUCUGGGAGGGUUGCUUCAAGGAAGUGCUCUCUCCGCUCUGGGCCUUGCAACAAGGGUGGGCUUCUGAGAGCAGAUGAUGGGGAGGUCAGUGUGGGUGGAGGGGAAAGCGUGAACA
Molecule: long non-coding RNA, 1505 nt
Organism: Jaculus jaculus (lesser Egyptian jerboa)
Lineage: Eukaryota; Metazoa; Chordata; Mammalia; Rodentia; Dipodidae
Exons: 3
Source: RefSeq, a predicted model, not a curated record